AGAGUUUGAUCCUGUGCUCAGGAUGAACGCUAGCGGCAGGCUUAACACAUGCAAGUCGAGGGGCAGCGGGGAGGAAGCUUGCUUUCUCCGCCGGCGACCGGCGCACGGGUGAGUAACACGUAUGCAACCUGCCCCUGUCAGGGGGACAACCCGCCGAAAGGCGGGCUAAACCCGCGUACAUGCCACCGGGGCAUCCCGGAGGCAGGAAAGGCUUCGGCCGGACAGGGAUGGGCAUGCGGCGCAUUAGGCAGUAGGCGGGGUAACGGCCCACCUAACCGACGAUGCGUAGGGGUUCUGAGAGGAAGGUCCCCCACACUGGUACUGAGACACGGACCAGACUCCUACGGGAGGCAGCAGUGAGGAAUAUUGGUCAAUGGUCGGGAGACUGAACCAGCCAAGCCGCGUGAGGGAGGAAGGUACAGAGUAUCGUAAACCUCUUUUGUCAGGGAACAAAGGCGGGGACGUGUCCCCGGAUGAGUGUACCUGAAGAAAAAGCAUCGGCUAACUCCGUGCCAGCAGCCGCGGUAAUACGGAGGAUGCGAGCGUUAUCCGGAUUUAUUGGGUUUAAAGGGUGCGCAGGCGGUCUGUUAAGUCAGCGGUCAAAGCCCGGGGCUCAACCCCGGCCCGCCGUUGAAACUGGCAGUCUCGAGUUGGAGAGAAGUAUGCGGAAUGCGCGGUGUAGCGGUGAAAUGCAUAGAUAUCGCGCAGAACUCCGAUCGCGAAGGCAGCAUGCCGGCUCCACACUGACGCUGAGGCACGAAAGCGUGGGUAUCGAACAGGAUUAGAUACCCUGGUAGUCCACGCAGUAAACGAUGAAUGCUGGCUGUCCGGGGGGAUUGACCCCUGGGUGGCGAAGCGAAAGCGAUAAGCAUUCCACCUGGGGAGUACGCCGGCAACGGUGAAACUCAAAGGAAUUGACGGGGGCCCGCACAAGCGGAGGAACAUGUGGUUUAAUUCGAUGAUACGCGAGGAACCUUACCCGGGCUCAAACGGGGAGUGACUCAGGCAGAGACGCCUGUUUCCCACGGGACACUCCCCGAGGUGCUGCAUGGUUGUCGUCAGCUCGUGCCGUGAGGUGUCGGCUUAAGUGCCAUAACGAGCGCAACCCCCGCGUGCAGUUGCUAACAGAUAACGCUGAGGACUCUGCACGGACUGCCGGCGCAAGCCGCGAGGAAGGCGGGGAUGACGUCAAAUCAGCACGGCCCUUACGUCCGGGGCGACACACGUGUUACAAUGGGUGGUACAGCGGGAAGCCAGGCGGCGACGCCGAGCGGAACCCGAAAUCCACUCUCAGUUCGGAUCGGAGUCUGCAACCCGACUCCGUGAAGCUGGAUUCGCUAGUAAUCGCGCAUCAGCCAUGGCGCGGUGAAUACGUUCCCGGGCCUUGUACUCACCGCCCGUCA
This 1403-nucleotide ribosomal RNA is filed under the name uncultured bacterium. RNAcentral's name for it is "16S ribosomal RNA". It matches the Rfam family "Bacterial small subunit ribosomal RNA". The record is from RNAcentral.